AGUGAACGCUGGCGGUAGGCCUAACACAUGCAAGUCGAACGGCAGCACAGUAAGAGCUUGCUCUUACGGGUGGCGAGUGGCGGACGGGUGAGGAAUACAUCGGAAUCUACUUUUUCGUGGGGGAUAACGUAGGGAAACUUACGCUAAUACCGCAUACGACCUACGGGUGGAAGCAGGGGAUAUUCGGACCUUGCGCGAUUGAAUGAGCCGAUGUCGGUGUAGCUAGUUGGCGGGGUAAUGGCCCACCAAGGCGACGAUCCGUAGCUGGUCUGAGAGGAUGAUCGGCGACAUUGGAGGGGGGACAGGGUCCAGGCUCCUACGGGAGGCAGCAGUGGGGAAUAUUGGGCAAUGGGGGCAAGCCUGGUCCAGCCAUACCGCGUGUGUGAAGGAGGCGUUCGGGUUGUAAAGCCCGUUUUUUGGGAAAGAAAAGCAGCAGGUUAAUACCCCGCUGUUCUGACGGUACCCAAAGAAUAAGCACCGGCUAACUACGUG
RNAcentral lists this ribosomal RNA (492 nucleotides) under uncultured bacterium. Its description in RNAcentral is "partial 16S ribosomal RNA". It matches the Rfam family "Bacterial small subunit ribosomal RNA", at positions 29 to 507 of the family's 1533-position model. The record is from RNAcentral.